UUUCUCAUUGACCUCUUACAAUUACUCUGAGGCCCUAUGGCUGGCUGCAUUUUACAGAUGAGGAAACGAAGGCUUGGCAAGGUUAGAUUUACCCAAGUUCUCUCAACUGUUAAGCGGCAGAGUCAUGAUUCAAACCCAGGUGGCCCAUGUCCAGAUCUCUUGUUCUCAAUCAGGUUGAAUUAACAGGGUAUGGUGAUGGGUGACAUUGUUGGGGGAGAAAGGGGAAGGAAGAAUUCACAUGCCCCCCUCCUUUUUUUUUUUAUUCAACUCAGUGUCAUAUAGUGUCCUGGUGGGUGGUGGAGAAAUACAAUGAAAACAAAAAACAAAAAACAAACCACCCACUCUACCCCUUAGAACUUCAGACAAGGAGGAAGAUUUAGCAAAGCAUGAAGCAUGCUGACUUGGGUAUGGGGAAACAAGUCUUCCUGAAGUGGUCUCUUUUUAAGCCAAGACUUAAGGGACCAUUAAACAUGGGAAGAGGGCAGGAGAAAUGGCGUGUGCAAAGACCAGGAGCUGAGGUAGAGCAUGGAGAUUCAAAGACACGGUGGACUGAAGGGGCAUGGGUCUGGGAGAUGAGAGCCUGGAUGUCAGCAGAGGGCAGUCACUCGAGGUCUUGACUCUGAGGCUUCUAGAUUGGGACUGGGACAAGGGAGGGGAGAGAAUUUGAGGAAAUCCUGGGGGAACAGUGGUCUGCUGGCUGGAGCUAGGAACAUGGGUGAGGGCAAAGGAAGUGGUGGUAAUGAGCUUGGUUUUGGUCUCCCGAGUGCUGAGAGGGGGGUCACCGUUAAGGUCUUUUCCACUGCUGACCUUCUCAACUUCCCUGGAAGGAAGGAACAUCUCCCUGCGGCCCCUCCACCCCCAAAUAUUCUGGGCAGGAAGGAGCGGGAUCUGUUUUGUCAACGCAGCUUGCAAUAAAGAGUCUCAUUCAGGGAGGCAAACAGCUGCUUGACUAUUAAUAGGCAGGGCCUCAGCCGCAGCCUGCUGGGAGGGCUCGGCAUGCAGUUCUGGAAAGGUGAAUCUCUUCCAUCUGCCUGUCUGGAGUUUGCACCCCAUGGUGGAACAAUAGGCCGGGUGCUCAUUUCUCGGAAGGGGAAACAGCUCGAUUCCCUGGAGAAGCUUCAGGCCCUUGGCUCACUUGGCAGCCCGGGAAAGCCCCACCAUGGGGGUGCAGAUUGGGUGGACUCUGCCCUUCUGAAAGGCAUGAGGGAAAGGUGGCACAGAGGACUUGGGUGCCAGCACCCUGGCUUAGAGCCCCUGCUCAACCACCUACUAAGGUAAGGCCAAUGUUGCAGGCCUUCGUCUGUACAAUGGGACUGCCAAGAGAGCCCUUGUGAAAUGCAGUGAGAUGGUGCUUGGACAGGGUGCAGGGGAGCACUUCUCCUUUUCCUCUUCUUUUUAAACAUUUUUACUUAUUUAUUCAAUUUUUUGUCUGUUUGUUUGUUUUGGCUAUGCUGGAUUUUCACUGCUGCUUGGGCUUUUCUUUGGUUGUGGCGAGCAGGCACUACUCCCUAAUUGUGGUGCAUGGGCUUCUCAAUGCAGUGGCUUCUCUUGUUCAGAGCAUGGCUCCAGGGUGCUUGGGUUUCAGUAGUUGCAGCUCCUGGGCUCUAGAGCACAAGCACAGUAGUUGUGGCCCACAGACUUAGUUGCUCCCUGGCAUCUUCCCGGAUCAGGGAUCGAACCUGUGUCUCCUGCAUUGGCAGGCAGAUUCUUUACCACCGAGCUACCAGGGCAGCUCUUCUCUUCCUCUUCCCAUCUGUCUCCUUCUUUUCCUUUUCCAUCUUUGUCUUCUUCUUCCUCAGUGGAGUCUGCAUGCAAUGGCCUCCUCAUAUAUCCUUCAACAUAACCUGGGGCCAGUCAGGUCUGGACUCUGGGAAGAAACGUGGGCCUGCACCUGAGAUUCAGCGGAAGGGAAGAGAAGAGUAAGGAGUAAGGAUCACCCAUCCCCUGAGUGACCAUGCAGGUCUCAAGUCACUUUCUCUGAGAAGCUUUUCUCUGACUCCUCUCUGCCCCGAGCCUGACCUCAGUCCACUGUGGCAUGGUGCUCGUUCUCUGCUAUCGCACUGACUGCAAGCCGAGUUUAUUGUUUGGCUCUUCCUCUCAACAUGUAAGAUCUGGGAGUGGACGCCCUGGAGCAUUAAGUUC
This 2142-nucleotide long non-coding RNA is filed under the name Bos grunniens (domestic yak). RNAcentral describes it as "lncRNA (ENSBGRG00000021966.1)". The record is from RNAcentral. Lineage: Eukaryota; Metazoa; Chordata; Mammalia; Artiodactyla; Bovidae.